CCUACGGGAGGCAGCAGUAGGGAAUAUUGCUCAAUGGGGGAAACCCUGAAGCAGCAACGCCGCGUGGAGGAUGAAGGUUUUCGGAUUGUAAACUCCUUUUGUUAGAGAAGAUAAUGACGGUAUCUAACGAAUAAGCACCGGCUCACUCCGUGCCAGCAGCCGCGGUAAUACGGAGGGGGCAAGCGUUACUCGGAAUCACUGGGCUUAAAGCGCGCGUAGGCGGGAUAGCAAGGCAGAUGUGAAAUCCUAUGGCUUAACCAUAGAACUGCAUUUGAAACUGUUAUUCUAGAGUAUGGGAGAGGUAGGUGGAAUUCUUGGUGUAGGGGUAAAAUCCGUAGAGAUCAAGAGGAAUACUCAUUGCGAAGGCGACCUGCUAGAACAUAACUGACGCUGAUGCGCGAAAGCGUGGGGAGCAAACAGGAUUAGAUACCCCAGUAGUC
This 440-nucleotide ribosomal RNA is filed under the name uncultured bacterium. Its description in RNAcentral is "partial 16S ribosomal RNA". It matches the Rfam family "Bacterial small subunit ribosomal RNA", at positions 338 to 795 of the family's 1533-position model. The record is from RNAcentral.